CUCUUUUGCUCUUGAAAGAUGCCGAUAAUCAAAGCACACAGACCUGUACGUUCAGAGUACAGCUAAGUGGGUGUGCAGGAGAGGAAGGAGCCGCAUUGCCCAGUGAAAACUCAAGCUUCACGUUCAGCUUAGUGAUCUCGCUUCUUUGUGCAUCCAAAGUCAUGGAUGAAACGUUACUGAUUCGGAACAGAGACCUGUGGAAUGCCAUGAGCAGCACCAGGGCAGCACUGGGGCCAUGGCCACCCCCCACCCAAUGGUAU
This 260-nucleotide long non-coding RNA is filed under the name Gallus gallus (chicken). RNAcentral describes it as "lncRNA (ENSGALG00010020020.1)". The record is from RNAcentral. Lineage: Eukaryota; Metazoa; Chordata; Aves; Galliformes; Phasianidae.